Molecule: ribosomal RNA, 253 nt
Filed under: uncultured bacterium
Lineage: Bacteria
Description: partial 16S ribosomal RNA
Rfam family: Bacterial small subunit ribosomal RNA
Source: RNAcentral
UACAGAGGGGGCAAGCGUUGUUCGGAAUUACUGGGCGUAAAGGGCGCGUAGGCGGCCCGCUAAGUCGGACGUGAAAUCCCCGGGCUCAACCCGGGAACUGCGUCCGAUACUGGCGGGCUUGAAUCCGGGAGAGGGAUGCGGAAUUCCAGGUGUAGCGGUGAAAUGCGUAGAUAUCUGGAGGAACACCGGUGGCGAAGGCGGCAUCCUGGACCGGCAUUGACGCUGAGGCGCGAAAGCCAGGGGAGCAAACGGG